Molecule: RNA transcript, 3008 nt
Organism: Brassica oleracea var. oleracea
Lineage: Eukaryota; Viridiplantae; Streptophyta; Magnoliopsida; Brassicales; Brassicaceae
Exons: 5
Source: RefSeq, a predicted model, not a curated record
UCAAAAUCAACAUGCAAAUAGAGGAAUCAAACAUGGAUCCGAAUCAGGGUGAGUAUCCGACCAGAGAAAUAUGGAAGCAAGUGCAAAAUUUUGAAGGUGGGAGCAGACAAAGAUCGAUGGACAGUGCAUGAAGAUGUUCAAAACCUUGCUGGAAUGAAAGUAGCUCUCCCAAGGAUAUGGCAGCUUGUCAACAAAGUAGAAGGCAAAGUGAAUGAUGAUGAUACCGUUAAUUUCUACUUUGCCAAGGAACAGCAUCUACAGAGAGUCAUGGAAAACGCUCCAUACACUUACAGAGGAUGAUGGAUUGUCGUUCUAGACAGAUGGGGUAAUCAAGACUCUCCUGACUUCUUAAAGCAAUGUUCCUUUCUGGGUUAGAAUCUACAAGCUGCCAAGCGCCUACAUAAGAGCUGAUAUAGUGGAGGGUAUAGCAUCAAAUCUGGGCCAUGUGGAUGAGGUAUCCAUUGUACAGCCAACAAAUAACGUUUGAUAUAGAUGACGUCAUUACUCUUACAAGGGAGGUGGAAAUCAUGAAGAAUCGACCACCGGUGGAGCUAGACUGUAUAACGUAUUAACGUGUGGAAGCUUGAAGCAUGAGUUUGAAGUCUGUAACGAAUCUUCUCAGUUGACUCAGCAAAAAUGGGAUCUCAUGGAUACUGGAACAAACCCCUAUGCCAAGACCGCUCUGAUGCAAUAGCACAAUAUAUAUGGAAAUAAAGAGAAAUGAGCGAAGAGUAGAAGCAAAUCUAAAAAGCCAAUCAAUAAGGAAUGAGAGCAGGGGGAUAGUGAUCACAGAAAAUCUGCAAGAGCAACCAAGUGAAGAAUCUGAGAAGCACUUGGGCAAGCAAAUAGCUAUGGAACAGACUACUGAGCAGGGCAUAAAGAGAAAGAUGACUGAAGAGAUGGAAGGUGAAACAUCAAACGCUGCAAAAAGGAUUGUGAUAGAACAACCUCAACUUGAAUCAGAUCAAGGUUUGGUGGUUCUCCACAAACCACCACCGGCGCCAUGAGGAUCUUACAUUGGAACUGUCAAGGUUUGGGGAGCCCCUUGAUCAAGGACAAGAAGGAGGAGUUCGAAGGCAGAGUUAAGCUUGCAAUAUAGGCUGGAGGAAGAAUAUUGGAGGACGAAGAGCAGGGUACAAUGGCUUCAAGCAGGAGACAGAAACACCAGAUUCUUUCACUCAAAAACAAAGCAGAGGAGGAGCAAUAAUAGGAUCAUUCAUAUCUCGGAUGAGGAAGGUAAAUCUUAUAUGGAGGUUAAGGAUACACAUAAUCAAAUUAUAAAGUAUUUCCAGGAGCUAUACAAGAGUGAAGGAGUUACCAUUGAUCAGAGACUGCUUGAAGGGAUUCCCAGUACAAUAACAGAGGAGAUCAACGAUCUUCUCACUCAGGAAGUUAUGGAAAAGGAGAUAGAAGAUGCUGCCUUCGCUAUAAAUCCAGAUAAAUCCCCAGGACCAGAUGGGAUGAAUGCAGGGUUCUUCAGACAUCACUAGAGCAUCAUCAAGCAAGUGAUGUGGAGGAUGGGCUUUUGUGAAACAUGGUGCAGCUGGAUUUAUACAUGUAUGUCAACAGUGACAUACUCAGUCUUGGUGAAUGGAGAACCCUCAAAGCCUGUCACGCCAUCUCGAGGAAUAAGACAAGGCUGCAUCAGCUUCAUGGAUACAAAGCAUCAAGGGGUGGUCCAACUAUCUCUCAUUUACUCUUUGCUGAUGACUCAAUAGUGUUCUGCAGAGCUACGGAGGAUGAAUGCAGGGUAUUAAUGCAGACACUUAGAGAGUACCAGAGAGCAUCAGGACAAGCCGUAAACUUUGCCAAGUCAGCCAUCACAUUCGCUAAAGGUAUUCCUCAAAUCACUCAAGAAAACCUGAUGAGAAUGACUGGAAUUACUAAAAUAGGAGGAAGUGUUUAGGGCUGCCUGAGAAAAUAGGGCGUAGAAGAAAGGAUGCUUUCGAGUACAUUAAGCAAAGAGUGAUGAAUAAAUUAGAUAGUUGGUAUAAUAGAUUCUUGAGCCCAGCAGGAAGAGAAGUCUUAUUAAAAGCAGUAAUCACGGCAUUACCGACGUAUGCUAUGUCAUGCUUUCUGCUUCCAAGAGGAAUCCUUAACGAAAUUACCUCUAGUAUGCGAAAUUUUUGGUGGUCAGGACAAAAAGAAAAACAAAAGAUCUCUUGGAUUAGCUGGAAAAAGAUUACUGCUUGUAAACGGGAAGGAGGGCUAGGAAUAAGAGAUAUGGAGAUUUUUAACCUACCAUUGUUAGCUAAGCAAGGCUGGAGAAUCAUUAAGAAUCCAUCCUCUCUACUGGCCAGACAUACUACAAGCGAGAAGCUUACUACAAGAAGGAAUCAAAUGGAUAGUGGGAGAUGGAAGCAAAAUUAGAGUAUGGGAGGAUAAUUGGAUUCACACUCAACCGGCCAAAGCAGCUUCUGGGCCAGGUAAAGAAGCAUUCCCAUAUCUCAAGGCUAGAGAUCUAAUGAUUGAAGGGACCAAAAGUUGGAAUGAGCACCUUAUUAACAGCGCAAUAAGUCCAGAGGAUGCUCAAUAUAUCCUCAACAUAAGACUUAGCUCUGCUAUGAAUCAGGAUACUCCUAUAUGGAACUUUACAAAGACGGGAGAAUACACGGUGAGAUCAGGCUAUCACCUAUGCAAUCAAAUAAGGAAUUGCCUCAACUUGGAGGAUCAAGGAAAUCAGAGUGUGACGGAGGCUGAAGCAUUGCGCAUAGCAGUAACCCAAAUGCGAGCACUGGCUUUUGAUAAGGUCCAUUUCUUCAGUGACUGCAAGACCAUAAUGGAUGAGUUGGCUCAGUAUAUCACAAGAGCAACUACCCGGAAAGUCCGUAACACGGAGAGCAUCUCCAUGAUACAGGACAUUGUAGAAGCUGCUAAGGAUAAUGGAUUUACUUUCUCUUAUAUGACUAGAAGCAGCUUAAGUCUAGUAGAUGAACUGGCAAAAAAGGCCAGAUGUAAUAAUCAGAACUAUGUAAUAACUUGGUUUUAAGAAUAAACUAGAUUUUGAC